CCUACGGGAGGCAGCAGUCGAGAAUCAUUCACAAUGGGGGAAACCCUGAUGGUGCGACGCCGCGUGGGGGAAUGCAGGUCUUCGGAUUGUAAACCCCUGUCAUGUGGGAGCAAAUUAAAAAGAUAGUACCACAAGAGGAAGAGACGGCUAACUCUGUGCCAGCAGCCGCGGUAAUACAGCGGUCUUAAGCGUUGUUCGGAAUCACUGGGCGUAAAGCGUGCGGAGGCUGUUUCGUAAGUCGUGUGUGAAAGGCGAGGGCUCAACCCGCGGAGGGCAGUUGAUACUGGGAGUCUAGAGUAAUGGAGGGGGAACCGGAAUGCUCGGUGUAGCAGUGAAAUGCAUAGAUAUCGAGAGGAACACUGGUGGCGAAGGCAGGUGCCUGGACAUUAACUGACGCUGAGGCACGAAGGUGAGGGGAGCGAAAGGGAUUAGAUACCCUUGUAGUC
RNAcentral lists this ribosomal RNA (446 nucleotides) under uncultured bacterium. RNAcentral describes it as "partial 16S ribosomal RNA". It matches the Rfam family "Bacterial small subunit ribosomal RNA", at positions 338 to 795 of the family's 1533-position model. The record is from RNAcentral.